UUUUAUGGAGAGUUUGAUCCUGGCUCAGGAUGAACGCUGGCGGCGUGCCUAAUACAUGCAAGUCGAGCGAACAGACGAGGAGCUUGCUCCUCUGACGUUAGCGGCGGACGGGUGAGUAACACGUGGAUAACCUACCUAUAAGACUGGGAUAACUUCGGGAAACCGGAGCUAAUACCGGAUAAUAUAUUGAACCGCAUGGUUCAAUAGUGAAAGAC
RNAcentral lists this ribosomal RNA (215 nucleotides) under Staphylococcus epidermidis. Its description in RNAcentral is "partial 16S ribosomal RNA". It matches the Rfam family "Bacterial small subunit ribosomal RNA", at positions 1 to 208 of the family's 1533-position model. The record is from RNAcentral. Lineage: Bacteria; Bacillati; Bacillota; Bacilli; Caryophanales; Staphylococcaceae.